RNAcentral lists this ribosomal RNA (468 nucleotides) under uncultured bacterium. RNAcentral's name for it is "partial 16S ribosomal RNA". It matches the Rfam family "Bacterial small subunit ribosomal RNA", at positions 28 to 523 of the family's 1533-position model. The record is from RNAcentral.
GAUGAACGCUGGCGGCGUGCCUAACACAUGCAAGUCGAGCGAUUCUCUUCGGAGAAGAGCGGCGGACGGGUGAGUAACGCGUGGGUAACCUGCCCUGUACACACGGAUAACAUACCGAAAGAUAUGCUAAUACAAGAUAAUAUACUUUUAUCGCAUGGUAGAAGUAUCAAAGCUCCGGCGGUACAAGAUGGACCCGCGUCUGAUUAGCUAGUUGGUAAGGUAACGGCUUACCAAGGCGACGAUCAGUAGCCGACCUGAGAGGGUGCUCGGCCACAUUUGAACUGCGACACGGUCCAAACUCCUACGGGAGGCAGCAGUGGGGAAUAUUGCACAAUGGGCGAAAGCCUGAUGCAGCAACGCCGCGUGAGCGAUGAAGGCCUUCGGGUCGUAAAGCUCUGUCCUCAAGGAAGAUAAUGACGGUACUUGAGGAGGAAGCCCCGGCUAACUACGUGCCAGCCGCCGCAGUAA